UACGUAGGUGGCAAGCGUUGUCCGGAAUCAUUGGGCGUAAAGCGCGUGUAGGCGGCUCGAUAAGUCUGCUGUGAAAGUCCAAGGCUCAACCUUGGGAUGCCGGUGGAUACUGUCGAGCUCGAGUCCGGAAGAGGAGUGUGGAAUUCCUGGUGUAGCGGUGAAAUGCGCAGAUAUCAGGAGGAACACCAAUGGCGAAGGCAGCACUCUGGGACGUGACUGACGCUGAGACGCGAAAGCGUGGGGAGCAAACAGG
RNAcentral lists this ribosomal RNA (253 nucleotides) under uncultured bacterium. RNAcentral's name for it is "partial 16S ribosomal RNA". It matches the Rfam family "Bacterial small subunit ribosomal RNA", at positions 524 to 776 of the family's 1533-position model. The record is from RNAcentral.